ACGGGAGGCAGCAGUGGGGAAUAUUGGGCAAUGGGCGAAAGCCUGACCCAGCAACGCCGCGUGAAGGAAGAAGGUCUUCGGAUUGUAAACUUCUUUUAUGAGGGACGAAGGACGUGACGGUACCUCAUGAAUAAGCAUCGGCUAACUCCGUGCCAGCAGCCGCGGUAAUACGGAGGAUGCAAGCGUUAUCCGGAUUUAUUGGGUUUAAAGGGUGCGUAGGCUGUGCGACAAGUCAGGGGUGAAAGCCCGCCGCCCAACGGUGGAACUGCCUUUGAUACUGUCGCGCUGGAAUACGGAUGCCGUGGGAGGAAUGAGUAGUGUAGCGGUGAAAUGCAUAGAUAUUACUCAGAACACCGAUUGCGAAGGCAUCUCACGAAUCCGUCAUUGACGCUGAGGCACGAAAGCGUGGGGAUCAAACAGGAUUAGAUACCCUGGUA
RNAcentral lists this ribosomal RNA (437 nucleotides) under uncultured bacterium. RNAcentral describes it as "partial 16S ribosomal RNA". It matches the Rfam family "Bacterial small subunit ribosomal RNA", at positions 341 to 792 of the family's 1533-position model. The record is from RNAcentral.